AUCCAUGACUCCAUGGGGGCAGCCGCAUGUGGCUGUGUCCCUUCCUAGGCAUGGAAGAGCAGUUCCUUGCUAAUUGGCAAAACUUUUACCCUCUUGUGGGCAUUAGUCGUUGACUGUAGCAAGUAACAGGC
RNAcentral lists this small nucleolar RNA (131 nucleotides) under Calidris pygmaea (Spoon-billed sandpiper). Its description in RNAcentral is "Small nucleolar RNA SNORA24 (ENSCPGG00000017038.1)". It matches the Rfam family "Small nucleolar RNA SNORA24". From Rfam's summary of the family: ACA24 is a member of the H/ACA class of snoRNA that guide the sites of modification of uridines to pseudouridines. Lineage: Eukaryota; Metazoa; Chordata; Aves; Charadriiformes; Scolopacidae. The record is from Rfam by way of RNAcentral.